CAGUAGGGGGACCCCAAGAACCACUUUUACUGAUACAGGAAAUAAAAAAAAACACAUCGUACAAUCCAGUGACACUCCCAUCUGCAGCUCUUUAUAUCCAUGUGUCUAUUAGAGACUCUGGCAGUUUGUGUCUAUCAGAACAUGGAUAUUAUUGUUAAACAAGGCCUCCUCGGAUUUUCACUCUUUGUGCUGUGGACUGCAGGUCUAAUUGAUGGGAGCGAUGUCACCCAGAAUGACAUAAUGUGGAAAUACAAGGGCGACAGUGCAGCAAUAGACUGCAGACACACGAAGGGUGAAUUAUACUACUACAUGUACUGGUACAGACAGCUACCAGGAGAAACAAUGAAACUAAUUGUGUUCACAUCAUCAAUCAACACAAAUCAUGACUUUGGCAAUUUCAGUACAGUGAAAUUCUCAGCCACCAAACCUGACGCUGCCAAUGGGACAUUCACAGUGAACAAUCUGGAGCCAGGAGAUAAAGGCUUGUACUUCUGUGCUGUGAGUGAACACAGUGAUACAGAUGCACUCAAUAGCUGAACAAAAACCUCAGUGCACUAAUUAUCUCAUGUACUGUAGGGGGACCUCAUGCACCACAUAUACUUCCAGUUACACAGUGAUUCAAUAUGCAGCGAACAGAAUCAGAGUACGUCACAGAAGAUAGCGACACUCCCACCUGCAACUUGUCAUAUCUCUGUGACUACACUGACAGUUGAGACUCAAACCUUCAGAACAAGGACAUGAUCAAACAGGAUCACCACAUCUACCAGAUGUACCGGUACAGACAGCUGCCAGGAGCAAUGGAGCAAGCAAUGAAACUUAUAGUGUUCACAAUAGUUGGGAGUGAAGAUCAUGACUUUGGCAAUUUCAGCCACCAAACCUGGCGCUCACAGUGGGACAUUCACAGUGAACAAAAAAGAAAAUAAAGGCUUGUAUUCCUGUACUGUGAGUCAGGGACCACAGUGACACAUUUAAUUUACAACGCUACGUAAAAACCUUUCUAUUGACCUUCUCUUCAUCCUGUAUUACUAGACUAACUGUUACUACUAAACUACUUUACAACACGAAAAUCUUAAGAAAAUACUAUUUUAGAAUAUUUUAAGCUUCAUAACAAGUUUUGAAAUAUCGCUGUCUUUCUAACUAAAAUAUAUGGAAUUAACCAUUAUUAUUCAUGAGAAAGAGGUAAUUAUGGAAACAUAUGAGUAAG
This 1204-nucleotide long non-coding RNA is filed under the name Dicentrarchus labrax (European seabass). RNAcentral's name for it is "lncRNA (ENSDLAG00005031266.1)". Lineage: Eukaryota; Metazoa; Chordata; Actinopteri; Moronidae. The record is from RNAcentral.